GACAGAGGGUGCAAACGUUGUUCGGAAUUACUGGGCGUAAAGCGCGUGUAGGCGGUCUGAAAAGUCGGGUGUGAAAGCCCUGGGCUCAACCCAGGAAGUGCACUCGAAACUGCCAGGCUAGAGUAUCGGAGAGGUUGGUGGAAUUCUCGGUGUAGAGGUGAAAUUCGUAGAUAUCGAGAGGAACACCGGUGGCGAAGGCGGCCAACUGGACGAAUACUGACGCUGAGACUCGAAAGCGUGGGGAGCAAACAGG
This 253-nucleotide ribosomal RNA is filed under the name uncultured bacterium. Its description in RNAcentral is "partial 16S ribosomal RNA". It matches the Rfam family "Bacterial small subunit ribosomal RNA", at positions 524 to 776 of the family's 1533-position model. The record is from RNAcentral.